Molecule: ribosomal RNA, 352 nt
Filed under: Stictotarsus roffii
Lineage: Eukaryota; Metazoa; Arthropoda; Insecta; Coleoptera; Dytiscidae
Description: partial 12S ribosomal RNA
Source: RNAcentral
UUUAAAUGUAAAUAUAACUUCAUUUAAGUAGUAUUAGUUAUGAUCUUGAAAUUUAAAGAUUUUGGCGGUAUUUUAGACUAUUCAGAGGAACCUGUUCUAUAAUUGAUAGUCCACGAUAAAUUAUACUUAAUUUAUUGAUUUGUAUAUCGUCGUUAUUAAAUAUUUUAAAAGAAUUUAAAUGUUUAAUUUUUUAUAUUAAAAAAUAUAUCAGAUCAAGGUGCAGUUUAUAGUUAAGAAGAAAUGGGUUACAAUAAAUUUAUUUAAACGGAUUAAGUUAUAAAAAUUUUUAAGAAGGAGGAUUUGAUAGUAAUAUAAUUUAUAUUAAUUUUAUGAUUUUAGCUCUAAAAUGUGU